GACGAACGCUGGCGGCGUGCUUAACACAUGCCAGUCGACGACGCUACUGAGUAGCAAUAUUUAGUAGUGGAGUGGCGCAAGGGUGAGUAAUGUAUACGUAACCAACCCAUCGGAGACGGAUAACAUUUCGAAAGGGAUGCUAAAACGGCAUGAAGCCACGAUUUCGCAUGAGAUUGUGGUUAAAGAACCGGUAACAGGUUGCCGAUGGCUGGGCGUAUAUCCGAUUAGCUAGUUGGUAGUGUAAUGGACUACCAAGGCGACGAUCGGUAGCUGGUCUGAGAGGAUGAUCAGCCACACUGGCACUGAGACACGGGCCAGACUCCUACGGGAGGCAGCAGUGGGGAAUAUUGGGCAAUGCCCGCAAGGGUGACCCAGCAACGCCGCGUGGAGGAUGAAGGCCGUAAGGUUGUAAACUCUGACAAGCAGGGAAGAACGGCUAUGGUAAAAGGCCAUAGAAUGACGGUACCUGCCUGAAGCCCCGGCUAACUACGUG
This 493-nucleotide ribosomal RNA is filed under the name uncultured bacterium. RNAcentral's name for it is "partial 16S ribosomal RNA". It matches the Rfam family "Bacterial small subunit ribosomal RNA", at positions 28 to 507 of the family's 1533-position model. The record is from RNAcentral.